GGAGGAUUAGCUCAGCUGGGAGAGCGUCGCCCUUACAAGGCGGAUGUCGUGGGUUCGAGUCCCUCAUCCUCCACCA
This 76-nucleotide transfer RNA is filed under the name Mycoplasma sp. Mirounga ES2805-ORL. Its description in RNAcentral is "tRNA-Val". It matches the Rfam family "tRNA". Rfam says of the family: Transfer RNA (tRNA) molecules are approximately 80 nucleotides in length. Their secondary structure includes four short double-helical elements and three loops (D, anti-codon, and T loops). The record is from RNAcentral. Lineage: Bacteria; Bacillati; Mycoplasmatota; Mollicutes; Mycoplasmatales; Mycoplasmataceae.